This is a non-coding RNA of Cinara cedri, 348 nucleotides long. The record is from the annotation of a GenBank genome assembly. NCBI's taxonomy places the organism in Eukaryota, Metazoa, Arthropoda, Insecta, Hemiptera, Aphididae.
AAUAUUACCAAUUAUAUUGCUCCAUACCUUCUCAAGUUCUCGCCUACGACAAUGAUUGUUCUAACGUAGAGGAACAAUGGCCGCAGUAUUAAUAGAUAAAAUAUGUUCAUAUAUUUUUAAACGUGCAGAUUAACUGUGAAUCAUUUUCUCGCAGUAGGCGAUUAUUUUGAAUUCGUUAAAACUAUAAUAAUUUGCGGUACAUAAAUAUAACACUAUCUCUUCAAUGGGCAACAUCAAAUUAUAUGUUUAUCGAAAUAACGCAAAGGUACGUGAAACGUUAAACACAACAAUCGCGAGGUUAGUUUUACGCACACCCUUCACCAAGUUUCACCGUUUUUCCAUACAAUG